RNAcentral lists this ribosomal RNA (478 nucleotides) under uncultured bacterium. RNAcentral describes it as "partial 16S ribosomal RNA". It matches the Rfam family "Bacterial small subunit ribosomal RNA", at positions 28 to 523 of the family's 1533-position model. The record is from RNAcentral.
GACGAACGCUGGCGGCGUGCUUAACACAUGCAAGUCGAACGGUAAGGCCCUUCGGGGUACACGAGUGGCGAACGGGUGAGUAACACGUGGGUGAUCUGCCCUGCACUUCGGGAUAAGCCUGGGAAACUGGGUCUAAUACCGGAUAGGACCACUGCCUGCAUGGGUGGUGGUGGAAAGCUUUUGCGGUGUGGGAUGGGCCCGCGGCCUAUCAGCUUGUUGGUGUGGUGAUGGCCUACCAAGGCGACGACGGAUAGCCGGCCUGAGAGGGUGACCGGCCACACUGGGACUGAGAUACGGCCCAGACUCCUACGGGAGGCAGCAGUGGGGAAUAUUGCACAAUGGGCGCAAGCCUGAUGCAGCGACGCCGCGUGAGGGAUGACGGCCCUCGGGUUGUAAACCUCUUUCAGCACCGACGAAGCGCAAGUGACGGUAGGUGCAGAAGAAGGACCGGCCAACUACGUGCCAGCAGCCGCCGUAA